GUGUACAACUGGAAAAUGGUUUUCAAAAACCAUUUACAGUAAACAAACAAACACACAUACCCCUCUUUUUUCUGCCAUAAUCACCACCACCACAAAGUUGCCACUACCACCACCACUAACCACCAUCCACCACCACCACACCACCACAACACCCGCCACACAACCACCACAGCACCGUCCUUCGCAUUCAACCCUGUAACCACGUAUAUCAUUUCAUCUCUCUCUCUCUCUCUCUCUCUCUCUCUCUCUCUAAACCCUAAACUCUUCAUCAUCCAAGAUCAUCACAACCAUCGGCUCGGACUCACAUAUAACACCGUAAAACCCUAGAUACGUGAGAGCCUGCGGCGUUGGUGGUCCCAGCCAGAUGUAACCGAGCGUCACUACCUUCGAUCAGUGCCAAACACCACCGCAACCUACAUCUAACCGCCACCGCUACCGCACCACCACGUUAAUGCCACCGGCCUGUUUAUCUCUACAAACUUUCUCCCUACAAACCACGGACCACCUUAAUACCUCCACCCUUUAGCCACCGCUACCCCUUGUAGCCAGUGGUGGUGUAACAUUUGUGAUGGUGGUUGAAAGAGAGACAUGUUGGAUGAAGUGGUGUGGUGACCAAUGAAAAGAAAGAAUGGUGAAAUGCAGACCAAUGAAAAGAAAGAAAAAAUUGAACAGUAAUUUUAGAGGAGGAAUGAAAGUUGUAAAAUUAUAGAGGGGAAAAUUAAUUGUUUGUAAAUUUAACUCAUUUUGUGCUGGAAAAGAAAUAAAUGAGAUGAUAGAAAGUU
Molecule: long non-coding RNA, 782 nt
Filed under: Helianthus annuus (common sunflower)
Lineage: Eukaryota; Viridiplantae; Streptophyta; Magnoliopsida; Asterales; Asteraceae
Description: hypothetical non coding rna
Source: RNAcentral